UACAGAGGGUGCGAGCGUUAAUCGGAAUUACUGGGCGUAAAGCGUGCGCAGGCGGUAAGUUAAGUCUGAUGUGAAAGCCCCGGGCUCAACCUGGGAAUGGCAUUGGAAACUGGCUUGCUAGAGUGUGGCAGAGGGGGGUGGAAUUCCGCGUGUAGCAGUGAAAUGCGCAGAUAUCAGGAGGAACACCAGUGGCGAAGGCGGCACUCUGGGCCGGUACUGACGCUGAGGAGCGAAAGCGUGGGGAGCGAACAGG
This 253-nucleotide ribosomal RNA is filed under the name uncultured bacterium. RNAcentral describes it as "partial 16S ribosomal RNA". It matches the Rfam family "Bacterial small subunit ribosomal RNA", at positions 524 to 776 of the family's 1533-position model. The record is from RNAcentral.